This 508-nucleotide ribosomal RNA is filed under the name uncultured bacterium. RNAcentral describes it as "partial 16S ribosomal RNA". It matches the Rfam family "Bacterial small subunit ribosomal RNA", at positions 28 to 507 of the family's 1533-position model. The record is from RNAcentral.
GACGAACGCUGGCGGCGUGCCUAAUACAUGCAAGUCGAACGCUUCUUUCCUCCCGAGUGCUUGCACUCAAUUGGAAAGAGGAGUGGCGGACGGGUGAGUAACACGUGGGUAACCUACCCAUCAGAGGGGGAUAACACUUGGAAACAGGUGCUAAUACCGCAUAACAGUUUAUGCCGCAUGGCAUAAGAGUGAAAGGCGCUUUCGGGUGUCGUUGAUGGAUGGACCCGCGGUGCAUUAGCUAGUUGGUGAGGUAACGGCUCACCAAGGCCACGAUGCAUAGCCGACCUGAGAGGGUGAUCGGCCACACUGGGACUGAGACACGGCCCAGACUCCUACGGGAGGCAGCAGUAGGGAAUCUUCGGCAAUGGACGAAAGUCUGACCGAGCAACGCCGCGUGAGUGAAGAAGGUUUUCGGAUCGUAAAACUCCGUUGUUAGAGAAGAACAAGGACGUUAGUAACUGAACGUCCCCUGACGGUAUCUAACCAGAAAGCCACGGCUAACUACGUG